AGCAGAUUUGCUCUCUAUAAACGGCCAAAGGCUAAUGGAGUCAAACCCAGCACGGUCCACGUGAUCUCCACACCACAAGCGUCCAAGGUUGUUUUUGAAGCCUGCAUUAUCGAUGUAAGCUGCCGAUUGCUCUGUUCCUCCUGACCUCCCUGACCCGCAGUCCACCUUCUGCAUAUUCCGGUGACCUGGUGCCCAGUCCCGUCAGUUUCUCCCUGACCCUUGCUAAACCAUGCGUUGGCCUCCAUGGGUCAUAAUGUUUUCCCUCUUCCAAUCUGACCGUCGCUUGUACUUUCCCACUGAUACAGUGUACUUUGGAGUCCAGUGUCACUUGAAGGUGACCAUACUCUCCAGUUCAUUCUACUUGUGAAUAAAUAGGCUUUUUUAAUCUGAUCUCAAGA
Suricata suricatta (meerkat) is the source of this 398-nucleotide long non-coding RNA. RefSeq lists it as uncharacterized. The record is from RefSeq and is a predicted model, not a curated record. Lineage: Eukaryota; Metazoa; Chordata; Mammalia; Carnivora; Herpestidae. The transcript has 2 exons.